Molecule: ribosomal RNA, 243 nt
Filed under: Escherichia coli
Lineage: Bacteria; Pseudomonadati; Pseudomonadota; Gammaproteobacteria; Enterobacterales; Enterobacteriaceae
Also listed under: 2 other names
Description: partial 16S ribosomal RNA
Rfam family: Bacterial small subunit ribosomal RNA
Source: RNAcentral
GUCUGCAACUCGACUCCAUGAAGUCGGAAUCGCUAGUAAUCGUGGAUCAGAAUGCCACGGUGAAUACGUUCCCGGGCCUUGUACACACCGCCCGUCACACCAUGGGAGUGGGUUGCAAAAGAAGUAGGUAGCUUAACCUUCGGGAGGGCGCUUACCACUUUGUGAUUCAUGACUGGGGUGAAGUCGUAACAAGGUAACCGUAGGGGAACCUGCGGUUGGAUCACCUCCUUACCUUAAAGAAGC